AAAAAAUAUGCAUCUAAAAAUUAUUGUUUUCCCCUUUGCCCUCUUUGGUAUUCCCAGUAUUCCCCCACCAGGGAACAGACUCCCUACCUGGCUGCUCAGGCGAACUGACGCGAUGACGCAUCCGCGGCAGCAGCUGAGCCGGAAAGUUCGCGGCCACUCGGGAUACAUGAACCUGCUUCAUGGAGACGUGUGGAGGACGAGAGGAAGAAAGGAGAGAGACUGGAGGAAAAUAAGACGAAGAACUGGAGUUUGUUGUGAGUUAUGAGAGGAAAUCAACGCCACCUGUUGAUGAGCAAUCAGCGAAAGCGACAAGCGAACAGCGUCUCGAACAACAAAGAUAGAGACUCCGUUUGUACAGAGGACUGCUGUUGACAGGCUCUGUGGUAACUAUGAAGAGUCUUCAGUUUGAAGGCUGACAACAUGUGGCGGAGGACUGCAGUUGACAUGCUCUGUGGUAACUAUGGAAGAGUCUUCAGAGUUCAGUCUCUAUCUGGGAGAAACAACAAUGUCGGAAUGAAUUGCAGUGACAGUGAAAUACAACAGAAAACCAAAUCCAACCUCAAAAUGAAGGAAACUGCUGGACCUUCAGAUCCCACCGCUCCAGAGCCCCGGACUCUCACACACACGCUGCUGUAACCGUCCUCCACUGUGAUGCUGUGAUCAGCCAAGAACCCCAGGAGGAGGAGAACUGCUCUUGACACGCACUGCUGGAACUAUGGAAGAGUCUUCAGGGUGUGCUCCAGUCAGCGUUUUACACAACAACACUUCAAUGGUUCCAGUCGACGCUUCGAGAGAGACUCCUGCGUCGUCCAGCCGGAUGCCAGUUGGGACCGCCAGCGGACCAGUUGGCAUUUUCCACAAAGACUUACUUCUUUGUGGAAAAUGCCAACUGGUGGGAAGGAGGGAGGAGAGGCGCUCUCUUUGUGUUGGCAGUGUUAAUGUUGAAUAAAAUUAUUUUAAAAUCCAUAA
Dicentrarchus labrax (European seabass) is the source of this 969-nucleotide long non-coding RNA. RefSeq lists it as uncharacterized. The transcript has 9 exons. The record is from RefSeq and is a predicted model, not a curated record. Lineage: Eukaryota; Metazoa; Chordata; Actinopteri; Moronidae.